RNAcentral lists this ribosomal RNA (431 nucleotides) under uncultured bacterium. RNAcentral's name for it is "partial 16S ribosomal RNA". It matches the Rfam family "Bacterial small subunit ribosomal RNA", at positions 355 to 797 of the family's 1533-position model. The record is from RNAcentral.
UGGGGAAUAUUGCACAAUGGGCGCAAGCCUGAUGCAGCAACGCCGCGUGAGGGACGACGGCCUUCGGGUUGUAAACCUCUUUUAGUAGGGAAGAAGCGAAAGUGACGGUACCUGCAGAAAAACGCACCGGCUAACUACGUGCCAGCAGCCGCGGUAAUACGUAGGGUGCGAGCGUUGUCCGGAAUUAUUGGGCGUAAAGAGCUCGUAGGCGGUCUGUCGCGUCUGCUGUGAAAACCCGAGGCUCAACCUCGGGCCUGCAGCGGGUACGGGCAGACUAGAGUGCGGUAGGGGAGAAUGGAAUUCCUGGUGUAGCGGUGGAAUGCGCAGAUAUCAGGAGGAACACCGAUGGCGAAGGCAGUUCUCUGGGCCGUAAUUGACGCUGAGGAGCGAAAGCGUGGGGAGCGAACAGGAUUAGAUACCCUGGUAGUCCA